This 533-nucleotide ribosomal RNA is filed under the name Copidognathus papillatus. Its description in RNAcentral is "SSU rRNA". It matches the Rfam family "Eukaryotic small subunit ribosomal RNA", at positions 22 to 558 of the family's 1831-position model. The record is from RNAcentral. Lineage: Eukaryota; Metazoa; Arthropoda; Arachnida; Trombidiformes; Halacaridae.
AGUCAUAUGCUUGUCUCAAAGAUUAAGCCAUGCAUGUCUAAGUAUAAGCAAUCUAUACUGUGAAACUGCGAAUGGCUCAUUAAAUCAGUUAUCGUUUAUUUGAUAGUACCUUACUACAUGGAUACCUGUGGUAAUUCUAGAGCUAAUACAUGCUAAAAACCCCGACUUCGGGAGGGGUGUAUUUAUUAGAUAAAAAACCAAUGCCCCUCGGGGCUCCUUGGUGAAUCAUAAUAACUUAACGAAUCGCAUGGCCUUGCGCCGGCGAUGGUUCAUUCAAAUUUCUGCCCUAUCAACUUUCGAUGGUAGGAUAGUGGCCUACCAUGGUGGCAACGGGUAACGGGGAAUUAGGGUUCGAUUCCGGAGAGGGAGCCUGAGAAACGGCUACCACAUCCAAGGAAGGCAGCAGGCGCGCAAAUUACCCAAUCCCGACACGGGGAGGUAGUGACAAUAAAUACUGAUACGGGGCUCUUUUGGGUCUCGUAAUUGGAAUGAGUACAAUCUAAAUCCCUUAACGAGGAACAAUUGGAGGGCAA